AUAAACAUAAAUUUAAACAAACCCCUAAAAUUAAUAAUAAACACAAAAACCCAACAUCCUACAAACCACAAAAUCCCAAAAAAUCAAACACAACUAAACCACUAAACUAAACUAAACAUACAAUCAUUUCUCCAAAUAUUUUAAUUACCCGAAUUUCUAUCCUAUACUAAACUAAAUAACAACAAUAUACUAAAAAACUAAAUCAUUUCCAAAUAAAUUAAAAUUCUAAAACAUUCACACCUUAAAAAAACCUCCCUUUUACACAAAAACAAAAAAAAUUUUUAACUAUCCAAUAAAAAUAUCUAACACCAUCCUAACAUAUAAAACGUAAAAAAACAAUUUUUUUUUAUUUUAUUUAA
Molecule: unclassified non-coding RNA, 359 nt
Filed under: Hevea brasiliensis (rubber tree)
Lineage: Eukaryota; Viridiplantae; Streptophyta; Magnoliopsida; Malpighiales; Euphorbiaceae
Source: RNAcentral